GAUGAACGCUGGCGGCGUGCUUAACACAUGCAAGUCGAACGGGAAAUAUUUCAUUGAGACUUCGGUGGAUUUGAUCUAUUUCUAGUGGCGGACGGGUGAGUAACGCGUGGGUAACCUGCCUCAUACAGGGGGAUAACAGUCAGAAAUGGCUGCUAAUACCGCAUAAGCGCACAGAGCUGCAUGGCUCAGUGUGAAAAACUCCGGUGGUAUAAGAUGGACCCGCGUUGGAUUAGCUAGUUGGUGGGGUAACGGCCCACCAAGGCGACGAUCCAUAGCCGGCCUGAGAGGGUGAACGGCCACAUUGGGACUGAGACACGGCCCAGACUCCUACGGGAGGCAGCAGUGGGGAAUAUUGCACAAUGGGGGAAACCCUGAUGCAGCGACGCCGCGUGAAGGAAGAAGUAUCUCGGUAUGUAAACU
Molecule: ribosomal RNA, 420 nt
Filed under: uncultured bacterium
Lineage: Bacteria
Description: bacterial SSU rRNA
Rfam family: Bacterial small subunit ribosomal RNA
Source: RNAcentral